GGCAAGGUAGCUCAGUUGGUUAGAGCACAGCACUCAUAAUGCUGGGGUCGCGAGUUCGAAUCUCGCCCUUGCUACCA
RNAcentral lists this transfer RNA (77 nucleotides) under Alteromonadaceae bacterium. RNAcentral's name for it is "tRNA-Met". It matches the Rfam family "tRNA". From Rfam's summary of the family: Transfer RNA (tRNA) molecules are approximately 80 nucleotides in length. Their secondary structure includes four short double-helical elements and three loops (D, anti-codon, and T loops). Further hydrogen bonds mediate the characteristic L-shaped molecular structure. tRNAs have two regions of fundamental functional importance: the anti-codon, which is responsible for specific mRNA codon recognition, and the 3' end, to which the tRNAs corresponding amino acid is attached (by aminoacyl-tRNA synthetases). tRNAs cope with the degeneracy of the genetic code in two manners: having more than one tRNA (with a specific anti-codon) for a particular amino acid; and 'wobble' base-pairing, i.e. permitting non-standard base-pairing at the 3rd anti-codon position. Lineage: Bacteria; Pseudomonadati; Pseudomonadota; Gammaproteobacteria; Alteromonadales; Alteromonadaceae. The record is from RNAcentral. RNAcentral also lists the same sequence under 5 other names.